GGAUGUGACUGCAGUCUGGCUUUGACACCUGUCACCCUGCUAAUUGUCAGAAUUUAUUCUGCUAAUCUGCCUGGCUUUUCCCCCUCACUACUCCCUGAGUGUCCAUCCUGGAGCUGUGUGUCCAUCUCCAGCUAAGAGAAUGACCUUCCCCAACAGAGGAGGGCCUGUGCAGGUCAAAUGUCUAAAAGUAACCUUGAUCCCCUGCAGAAAUUCCAAACAGGUUCUCAGGAUGGACACUGACCUUCCCUCUUACUUUAAGCUCGACUGGGAGUUGUGGCGAUACAGGAAAAUGUCUGAUUCUUU
Unclassified non-coding RNA from Cricetulus griseus (Chinese hamster), 303 nucleotides. Its record names the gene 7SK. It matches the Rfam family "7SK RNA". Rfam says of the family: 7SK was discovered as an abundant small nuclear RNA in the mid-70s but a possible function has only recently been suggested. The record is from Ensembl. NCBI's taxonomy places the organism in Eukaryota, Metazoa, Chordata, Mammalia, Rodentia, Cricetidae.